This 598-nucleotide ribosomal RNA is filed under the name Leptographium clavigerum. RNAcentral's name for it is "eukaryotic LSU rRNA". It matches the Rfam family "Eukaryotic large subunit ribosomal RNA", at positions 1 to 606 of the family's 3401-position model. Lineage: Eukaryota; Fungi; Ascomycota; Sordariomycetes; Ophiostomatales; Ophiostomataceae. The record is from RNAcentral.
UUGACCUCGGAUCAGGUAGGACUACCCGCUGAACUUAAGCAUAUCAAUAAGCGGAGGAAAAGAAACCAACAGGGAUUGCCCCAGUAACGGCGAGUGAAGCGGCAACAGCUCAGAUUUGGAAUCUGGCCCCCAGGGCCCGAGUUGUAAUCUGGAGAGGAUGCUUCUGGCGCGGCGCCUUCCGAGUUCCCUGGAACGGGACGCCGGAGAGGGUGAGAGCCCCGUACGGUUGGACGCCUAGCCUUUGUGAAGCUCCUUCGACGAGUCGAGUAGUUUGGGAAUGCUGCUCAAAAUGGGAGGUAAAUUUCUUCUAAAGCUAAAUACCGGCCAGAGACCGAUAGCGCACAAGUAGAGUGAUCGAAAGAUGAAAAGCACUUUGAAAAGAGGGUCAAACAGUACGUGAAAUUGUUGAAAGGGAAGCGCCCGUGGCCAGACUUGUGCCCCGCGGACCACCCGGCGCCCUCAGCGCCGGUGCACUCCGCGGGGCGCAGGCCAGCAUCGGUUUUCCUAGGGGGAUAAAGGCGGCGGGAACGUGGCUCCCUCGGGAGUGUUAUAGCCCGCCGCGCCAUGCCCCUGGGGGGACCGAGGACCGCGCUUCGGC